CACGGCGCACGGGCGCGAAACACGUGGGCAAUCUGCCCUUCGAUGGGGAAUAACCUCCCGAAAGCGAGGCUAAUUCCGCAUAACAUUCCUUGGACCUCGGUUCGAGGACUCAAAGCCGUAAGGCGUCGAAGGAGGGGCCAGCGCACGAUUAGCUAGUUGGUAGGGUAACGGCCUACCAAGGCUUUGAUCGUUAGCUGGUCUGAGAGGAUGGCCAGCCACACUGGAACUGAGACACGGUCCAGACUCCUACGGGAGGCAGCAGUGGGGAAUCUUGCACAAUGGGCGAAAGCCUGAUGCAGCGACGCCGCGUGGGGGAUGAAGCAUCUCGGUGUGUAAACCCCUUUCGACCCGGACGAAUGCCUCGCAAGAGGAGUGACGGUACGGGUAUAAGAAGCCCCGGCUAACUACGUGCCAGCAGCCGCGGUAAGACGUAGGGGGCCAGCGUUGUUCGGAAUUACUGGGUGUAAAGGGUUCGUAGGCGGUGUGGCAAGUUGGGAGUGAAAUCUCUGGGCUCAACCCAGAGGCUGCUUCCAA
This 534-nucleotide ribosomal RNA is filed under the name uncultured bacterium. Its description in RNAcentral is "bacterial SSU rRNA". It matches the Rfam family "Bacterial small subunit ribosomal RNA", at positions 94 to 630 of the family's 1533-position model. The record is from RNAcentral.